AUUGAACGCUGGCGGCAGGCUUAACACAUGCAAGUCGAGCGGAGAUGAGGUGCUUGCACCUUAUCUUAGCGGCGGACGGGUGAGUAAUGCUUAGGAAUCUGCCUAUUAGUGGGGGACAACAUUCCGAAAGGAAUGCUAAUACCGCACACGUCCUACGGGAGAAAGCAGGGGAUCUUCGGACCUUGCGCUAAUAGAUGAGCCUAAGUCGGAUUAGCUAGUUGGUGGGGUAAAGGCCUACCAAGGCGACGAUCUGUAGCGGGUCUGAGAGGAUGAUCCGCCACACUGGGACUGAGACACGGCCCAGACUCCUACGGGAGGCAGCAGUGGGGAAUAUUGGACAAUGGGGGGAACCCUGAUCCAGCCAUGCCGCGUGUGUGAAGAAGGCCUUAUGGUUGUAAAGCACUUUAAGCGAGGAGGAGGCUACUGAGACUAAUACUCUUGGAUAGUGGACGUUACUCGCGGAAUAAGCACCGGCUAACUCUGUGCCAGCAGCCGCUGUAA
RNAcentral lists this ribosomal RNA (501 nucleotides) under uncultured bacterium. RNAcentral's name for it is "partial 16S ribosomal RNA". It matches the Rfam family "Bacterial small subunit ribosomal RNA", at positions 30 to 523 of the family's 1533-position model. The record is from RNAcentral.